UCAGCCUCGGUCGUACAAGCCACUGUCGCUACAGCACCAAAAGCAACAAGCCCAGAUGAGAAAGGUAUGAAACCGCAGUGGAAAGCGAUAGAUUUCAAAUGGAUAAGGGAGAACAAGGAUGUUGUUGCUUGGGUAGGGCUUGAAAGGAGUUCUGUUAGACAUUGGUGGCUGGAUAAUAUAGGUAAGGCUUUUGAAGAAGGAAAAACUUAUGAAUGUAUGGGUUCUAGGCA
Molecule: long non-coding RNA, 230 nt
Organism: Rosa chinensis
Lineage: Eukaryota; Viridiplantae; Streptophyta; Magnoliopsida; Rosales; Rosaceae
Exons: 3
Source: RefSeq, a predicted model, not a curated record